ACGCACGCUGGCGGCGUGCUUAACACAUGCAAGUCGCACGGAAAGGCCCUGCUUUUGUGGGGUGCUCGAGUGGCGAACGGGUGAGUAACACGUGAGUAACCUGCCCUUGACUUUGGGAUAACUUCAGGAAACUGGGGCUAAUACCGGAUAGGAGCUCCUGCUGCAUGGUGGGGGUUGGAGAGUUUCGGCGGUUGGGGAUGGACUCGCGGCUUAUCAGCUUGUUGGUGGGGUAGUGGCUUACCAAGGCUUUGACGGGUAGCCGGCCUGAGAGGGUGACCGGCCACAUUGGGACUGAGAUACGGCCCAGACUCCUACGGGAGGCAGCAGUGGGGAAUAUUGCACAAUGGGCGGAAGCCUGAUGCAGCAACGCCGCGUGCGGGAUGACGGCCUUCGGGUUGUAAACCGCUUUCGCCUGUGACGAAGCGUGAGUGACGGUAAUGGGUAAAGAAGCACCGGCUAACUACGUG
Molecule: ribosomal RNA, 467 nt
Filed under: uncultured bacterium
Lineage: Bacteria
Description: partial 16S ribosomal RNA
Rfam family: Bacterial small subunit ribosomal RNA
Source: RNAcentral